CUGCACACAAAUGCAACAAGUUCACGCCAUAUAGCUCAAGGGAAGUUGGUGUAAAUCCAACACUGCCCCCGCAACGGUAAAAUGAAAUACUUAUCUUUAUAAAUUUUUAAUUUAGACCACUGCAAUUUUGUGGGAAGGUCGAUAAGUUUGUUAUGUUGACAUAACUUUAUUUAAGUCCGGAUACCUGCUUGUUGUUCCAGCCACUC
RNAcentral lists this non-coding RNA (206 nucleotides) under Acinetobacter sp. Lineage: Bacteria; Pseudomonadati; Pseudomonadota; Gammaproteobacteria; Moraxellales; Moraxellaceae. RNAcentral also lists the same sequence under 1 other name. The record is from RNAcentral.